RNAcentral lists this long non-coding RNA (1270 nucleotides) under Ursus maritimus (polar bear). RNAcentral describes it as "lncRNA (ENSUMAG00000020048.1)". The record is from RNAcentral. Lineage: Eukaryota; Metazoa; Chordata; Mammalia; Carnivora; Ursidae.
CACCCUUACUAGCCUCUAAGGUACAAAUGUAUGAUAUAUGCUUAGCUAAUAAGAUAUGCUUGUGUAAAAUUUUGGCUCAGAAAUAAGCUAUGGAAGAAAUAGGUGAGGUUCUAAAUAUUUGUUCUGUUGGCUUAAGUGGCAGGAGAGGCAGUAAGGAUACGGAUGGGUUGUAGCAAUAGUCCCUGUACCAAGUAAGUACUGUGGUAUCCUGAGAAGUGACCAUUAGCCUAAAUACUGCUCCUCCUACUGUUCCAGUGACUCUGAGAUUUUCUGCAUCCCUUAAUAAAUCUCUUUCUCUCUCAAGCAGCUGGAGUAGAUUCUGUUGUCUGCAACAGGGGGAGAACGUAUAUCAUGAAAGAGGACUAUUCUGUAUAAAACAUUUGUUUUGAUGAAGUGGAGAGUACACCUGAUUUUGUUCUAAAUGGACAGAUGUAUGCAGCCAUUUACAAGGGGAUGCAUCCAAAGCGUUACCUGCCCUGCUGAGAUGGACUUGAGCAUAUGAGGAAAAGUAGAUCUAUCCAACCGUUCACCCACCAACUCACCCUUCUGUGCAUCCAUCACAGACAAGAUGAAGACAUUUAUGGGUUUCAUGUGAUCCACUAAUUCCACUCCCUGUCCUCCCAUUUCAUCCUGGAUGAGUUAGUCCGCUCCCACCGUCACCCUUGCAGGUAAGAGGUCUGAGGAGGGAGGCAAAGACGCACUGGUCAUUUUCCCCAGUGCACCUGGCAGGCUGGGAGAGGAGUGUGAGGAGAGGUUUGACGUCAAAUCAUCAUCCAGGGUUUGAUCACCUUUAGAGCACCUGACUCCAAUUUCUGAGGCUGCCUUUGCACUUAGAGUGACUGCAGGGCAAAAGCAGAAAUUACGGUCAUGCUGGAGUCUUGGGAGAGCCAUUUCCAGCCUUGUUCGGUGAUGUCACACUGACGUCAGUAGCUUGAAAUCAGUCAUGGUGGGAGAAUUUACACCAAGGACACUGUCAGGCAGUAUAGAUUAGCCACUCUGCUUCUCACCCCAACCAACAACCCAAAGCUAAAUAUUUAAUUUAGCAGAAUUCUACCUGUACCACUAGGCACAUAUAGUUUCACAGGCAGGUACGGCUAAUUUUUUCUAAGGUACUGAUCAACCCAAUCUCCUUCAAACAUUUUAGAGAAUGGAAAGAUGAAGUAUUCCUAAGUUGAUUCCGUGAAGACAGCAACCGAGAGAACAAAGCCAGACAAAGGAGGGUAAGCAAGCCUAUUUCUCUCCUGAUCAUCAGUGCAAACUAUCCUACACC